GAUGAAAGAACGCAGCGAAAUGCGAUAAGUAAUGUGAAUUGCAGAAUUCAGUGAAUCAUCGAAUCUUUGAACGCACAUUGCGCCCUCUGGUAUUCCGGGGGGCAUGCCUGUUCGAGCGUCAUUAUAACCACUCAAGCUCUCGCUUGGUAUUGGAGUUCGCGAUCUCGCGGCUCCUAAAAUCAGUGGCGGUGCCUGUCGGCUCUACGCGUAGUAAUACUCCUCGCGAUUGAGUCCGGUAGGUUUACUUGCCAGCAACCCCCAAUUUUUACAGGUUGACCUCGGAUCAGGUAGGGAUACCCGCUGAACUUAAGCAUAUCAAUAAGCGGAGGA
RNAcentral lists this unclassified non-coding RNA (330 nucleotides) under soil metagenome. RNAcentral's name for it is "partial contains 5.8S ribosomal RNA, internal transcribed spacer 2, and large subunit ribosomal RNA". The stretch from base 6 to 121 matches the Rfam family "5.8S ribosomal RNA", at positions 39 to 154 of the family's 154-position model. The record is from RNAcentral.